Molecule: non-coding RNA, 503 nt
Organism: Dermacentor albipictus
Lineage: Eukaryota; Metazoa; Arthropoda; Arachnida; Ixodida; Ixodidae
Source: RefSeq, a predicted model, not a curated record
GAGUACGUUGUCGUCGAGUGGUGGUUCUUUAUUCUAUGGAGUGGUUCUGAAAGCGCUGCGUUAGGGGCGACUGCAACCAGGCGUUGCGGCAAGUUACGGUGGGAACUUCUGUCCGUGCUGUGUGAUUGCGACGAGGACGACUGCCGCCAGCAGCGGCGUGUCGCCGAUUUCGUCUUUGCCGACAUCGAGCAAGUGCAGCUCGCCGGAAGUGUUGCGUUUUGCACUGCAUUUUCCUUGUGAUAUGGGAGAUCGCAACGCAGAGACGACCAGAUGCAUACGAAAGACUACCAGCGGAGAGUGACCUGUGCCAUAUUUCUCUUAACCUCUCAGGUAUUCAAGAAAUGGCAACAUCCAGAAGAAGACGCCAUCUUAUCCAGCACGUUAUGGGUACACUCUGGUGGCUCCCGCCCCUGCAUCCUACGACCACCGUGUCCUCACUAUGUUCACUAGGGAGUUCGAAGCCUUUGGCGGCACCUGCCACUGCGUCCUGCCACCACCGUGUC